Molecule: ribosomal RNA, 253 nt
Filed under: uncultured bacterium
Lineage: Bacteria
Description: partial 16S ribosomal RNA
Rfam family: Bacterial small subunit ribosomal RNA
Source: RNAcentral
UACGUAGGGCGCGAGCGUUGUCCGGAAUUAUUGGGCGUAAAGAGCGUGUAGGCGGCCAUGCAGGUCAGCUGUGAAAACUCGAGGCUCAACCUCGAGACGUCGGUUGAAACCGCAUGGCUAGAGUCCGGAAGAGGAGAGUGGAAUUCCCGGUGUAGCGGUGAAAUGCGCAGAUAUCGGGAAGAACACCUAUGGCGAAGGCAGCUCUCUGGGACGGUACUGACGCUGAGACGCGAAAGCGUGGGGAGCAAACAGG